GACGGAGGGUGCAAGCGUUGUUCGGAAUUACUGGGCGUAAAGGGCGCGUAGGCGGUCUGCUAAGUUCGGUGUGAAAUCCCCUGGCUCAACUGGGGAACUGCGCCGGAAACUGGCAGACUAGAGUACCGGAGAGGAGGGUGGAAUUCCUGGUGUAGCGGUGAAAUGCGUAGAUAUCAGGAGGAACACCGGUGGCGAAGGCGGCCAGCUAGACCAGUUCUGACACUGAGGCGCGAUAGCGUGGGGAGCAAACAGG
RNAcentral lists this ribosomal RNA (253 nucleotides) under uncultured bacterium. RNAcentral describes it as "partial 16S ribosomal RNA". It matches the Rfam family "Bacterial small subunit ribosomal RNA", at positions 524 to 776 of the family's 1533-position model. The record is from RNAcentral.